GACGAACGCUGGCGGCGUGCUUAACACAUGCAAGUCGAACGGAAAGGCCUGCUUUCCCUUGUGGAUUGCGGGUACUCGAGUGGCGAACGGGUGAGUAACACGUGAGUGAUCUGCCCCCAACUUGGGUAUAAGCCUGGGAAACUGGGUCUAAUUCCCGAUAGGACUGCAGGGUGGUGCCUGUGGUGGAAAACGAUUUUCUAGUGGUUGGGGAUGAGCUCGCGGCCUAUCAGCUUGUUGGUGGGGUAAUGGCCUACCAAGGCGGCGACGGGUAGCCGGCCUGAGAGGGUGGACGGCCACAUUGAGACUGAGAAAAGGCGCAGACUCCUACGGGAGGCAGCAGUGGGGAAUAAGGCACAGCGGGCGGAAGCCUGAUGCAGCGACGCGGCGUGGGGGAUGACGGCUUUCGGGUUGUAAACUCCUUUGGACCGCGAGGAAGCCACCUGGUUGGAAGGGUGGUGACGGUAGUGGUAGAAGAAGCACCGGCUAACUACGUG
Molecule: ribosomal RNA, 494 nt
Filed under: uncultured bacterium
Lineage: Bacteria
Description: partial 16S ribosomal RNA
Rfam family: Bacterial small subunit ribosomal RNA
Source: RNAcentral